GUUCAGCGAGCAAAUUGUUAUAACUAGCCGAUUUCUACUUUUUCCAUGUUGUUCUGGAAGAUGAGCGGUUUCAAUCUCAGAAAGAGGGCUCGGGUCUGCUACUACGAGCCAGAGGAGCCUCCCUUCGACGAGUUCAUUUACUGCUCUGAGUGCCGGGACUAUGUGUAUGAGUACUGUGCAAUACAUGGCCCGUUACUCGUUAUACCCGAUGACAAGGGGCGGGAAUAGGCGUGUUCAGCACGCUGACGCUGCCCAGCGGCGUGCGCUUCGGGCCCUACCGCGGCCGCCGCCUCAAGACCGCGCUCGACUCCGGAUACGAAUGGCAGCUGUACGACCGCAACAACAAGCCGAGCCACGUGGUGGACGCGAGCGACGGCAACAACUCCAACUGGAUGCGAUACGUGAACUGCGCGCGGCGCUACUCCGAGCAGAACCUGGUCGCCUUCCAGUACCAGGGCGAGCUCUACUACA
Molecule: long non-coding RNA, 471 nt
Organism: Cydia splendana
Lineage: Eukaryota; Metazoa; Arthropoda; Insecta; Lepidoptera; Tortricidae
Exons: 4
Source: RefSeq, a predicted model, not a curated record